UCGUGCUAGACGGGGAACUAGCGGUGCCCUGAACCCGCAAUCCGCUAUAGCGGGGUUGAAUUCCUUUCCGAGGCUCGACUUCUAGGGAGGCAGGGGGCGAAAGACGGCGUCGAUGGUCAGGUCCCGCGCGAUGGGGACCCGUGAACCCCGUCAGGACCGGAAGGUAGCAGCGGUAAGCGGACUCUUCCAUGCGCCGCGGGCUCGCUUGGCCUGAGCCGGCCUCUCGCCUUACGCUCCCGGGGAGCGGGUCGACGAAAGGUGCACGA
RNAcentral lists this signal recognition particle RNA (266 nucleotides) under Candidatus Latescibacterota bacterium. Its description in RNAcentral is "Candidatus Latescibacteria bacterium signal recognition particle sRNA large type". It matches the Rfam family "Bacterial large signal recognition particle RNA". From Rfam's summary of the family: The signal recognition particle (SRP) is a universally conserved ribonucleoprotein involved in the co-translational targeting of proteins to membranes. Archaeal SRP consists of a 7S RNA and homologues of the eukaryotic SRP19 and SRP54 proteins. In most bacteria, the SRP consists of a 4.5S RNA and the Ffh protein (a homologue of the eukaryotic SRP54 protein). The record is from RNAcentral. Lineage: Bacteria; Pseudomonadati; Candidatus Latescibacterota.